Molecule: non-coding RNA, 559 nt
Organism: Pelobates cultripes (western spadefoot toad)
Lineage: Eukaryota; Metazoa; Chordata; Amphibia; Anura; Pelobatidae
Source: the annotation of a GenBank genome assembly
CCUAUAUGUAACGGCAGGAUGGCGCUAUGUGUAACGGCAGGAUGGCGCUAUGUGUAACGGCAGGAUGGCGCUAUGUGUAACGGCAGGAUGAUGUUAUAUGUUACUUUACAAUAACAUUAUUUGUUUCAGUAGAAUUCAAUGUGCAGAGCGUAGGAACAAAAACAGAUCUGCUUAGGUCACAAGAGACGUCUGACACUUGUAGAGGAUUUAUACAAUAUCCCAAAUUUUCUGUUUGCUUUUGAACUGAGAGCUUUUUGUAAUUCAUAUAUAUAUAUGUUUUUUGUCCUUGUAAUACGUUGUUUGUGAAAGUAUAAGGAAAUCGUGUCCUCCCAGUGUGGAAUCCAUUCAUUAUUUAUGGUUUUCAUAAUAAAUGUCAGAUUGACGUGAUUUUACAUGCUGCCCUGUCCUUGCACAUGGCACAGUACUGACACAAUUGGAAUCCUGCAAACUUGCAAAUCGCCGUGUACACUUAGGGAGAGGAGGUUGUUUUCUUGGGAACCAGGAGGACGUUGGCUUUUUGUGACAAUGAAUCUGGGUGUCAUGGCAUUGCUUGGCGCCG